Molecule: long non-coding RNA, 1313 nt
Organism: Mytilus californianus (California mussel)
Lineage: Eukaryota; Metazoa; Mollusca; Bivalvia; Mytilida; Mytilidae
Exons: 5
Source: RefSeq, a predicted model, not a curated record
UGUUUAUUACUUAUAUCAUGAGGAUAUUGCUUAACACCGGCAAUUUGAAUAUUUAUUUUUUCCGUGAAUACAAGCACCUUUUGGACAACUGUAAACAAUACUAAGACUAAUACCGCUAAUGAAGAUUAUUUAGCUGAGUCAACACAGAAAGUUAUUGGGAUCAUUAUCUGUUUCUUUUCGGUUAUUGGUGUAGCUGUUAGCAUUACAGUGCUGAAAAUAGUUCUUACAAAAAUACACCAUCUCAAUUCAUCGACUGUGUUCAUUCCAGUAUUAGCAAUUGUUGGCUUUAUUGUAUCUGCAUUUUUAAUGCCUUUACAUGCUGCAACAGCAUUUGACAGGAGUUUUAUCUUUGACGAAAACGUAUGCAUGUUUUAUGGAUUUACCUUUACCUCGAUAGGAUUGUUAUACAUUACCCUUUUAACCACAAUGAUAGUCCAAUUAUACAGAGUGAUUGUGUCUGCUCAUUCAAUCGAAGUUGGAUUAGACAAAAAGUCUUUUAUUUUAGUAUUAGGAGGAUGCAUGUUGCUUUGUGGAAUUGCUUCAGCUUUUCCGCUAUUUGGAAUAGCUGCGUAUAAACCUUACCGAAGACCUUCGCUAUGCCAUAUGAGAUGGAUACCUUGUAACCAAAUUGAUAUAGUUUAUUAUAUAAGUCUUCUGAUACUAUUCUAUGUGAUCCCAACCGUCUUGAUUUCAGUCUCAUACACUGUUAUCUAUUUCAAGACCAAGGAUUCCUCUUCCAGAUCUUUUACUUCAACAAGAAAUAGACAUCGUCAACUGUUUAUGUUAAAGACUUUCAUUAUUAUAACAGGGGCCUUUAUAUUUACUUGGUUUCCGUAUGUGGUAUGUCUUAUCAUGGAUUUAGCUGGAGUUGACUACCAUUCAUAUUCUCAUAACAUCUAUCUUUUCUGUUCGAUGGUAGCAAAAGUUUCUCUCACUUGGAUCCCGGCGAUAUUUAUAAUCCGUCACAGCUAUUACAGAAAUGACUUGGACAUAAUGGCUAAUGAAAUGAUUGAAAAAGUUGAAAAGCUAACAAUGUCAUCAGGAGAGUACAAUUUAGACAGUGUAGGCAUGUCUGUUGAAGGAAAAGCUACGGGCGAAAUUGAAUUUGUAGUAGACGAUAAUGAUAGGAUUGAUUCAAUACCUUCGCAUCUGGUUCUCCUAUCUUAUAACAGAAUAACAGAGAGUGACAUGUAAAGGAUUAUAAGUAUGUCACGACUAUUGGACAAUCAAACUAUUUUAAAUUAACAUAAAUGAUUAGUGUUGAAGCAAUUAAUUUGAUACAAAUUGUUGUUUCCGACUUUCGUUUUCAGUUU